UUACUUUUUGAAUCCUCAGACUGUGUUGAUUUAAAAGCAAGAACAUUCUGGUGUCAUAAUAAGACAAAAACACUGAGGGGCUACACUUUAUUGCUACCUAAUUCUCCUCAUGACCACUUUUUUUUUUUUUUUUUUUUGCUGAGGAAGAUUUGCCCUGAGGUAACAUUUGUGCUCCUCUAUUUUGUAUGUGGGACACUGCCUCAGCAUGGUCGCUGAUGAUUGGUGUAGGUCCACGCCCGGGAACUGAACCCAGGCAGCCGCAAUGGAGCACACCGAACUUAACCAUUAGGGCCUGGGGCUGGCCCCUCACGACCACUUUUUAUAUGUAAAGCUUGGUGAUUGCCAGUGUGAAUGCACAAUUUUUCAGGUUAACAGAAUCCCAACAGCCACAGAAAAGAAGAAACAGUGGAGUCUGCUUCUUCCCAUACGGGAGGCACACCACGCAGACGUUUUCAAACUUGAGAAGACCCCAGCAUGAGUAGAGUGAAAGUUUGUACAAUAGAGUAGGAUAUACACAGACACACAGUUGUAAAGGAAAAACUCUUUCCUUUUCCUUCUCUAUACACGACACUCACACUUCACUUCUGACACUUCUAGUCACCAAACGUGUGGGCUUUUCCCCACACCAAACAAUUCGAUUCUCUGCAGACACCAGCUGGGUGGCCUACAAUUCAAUCCUGACACUGUCUACCUGGAGAUGGCAUCAGACCCUCCAGGUGAGGGGCUCAGCCCCACAAGACCGCCCCCUGUUCAGAUGCUGGUCACAAGUCCGGGUUGUUGCCUGCGCUUCUGACCUGCUGGCUAUAAAGCGGAGGUUCCCACAACCACUUCGGAUGUAAGCAAGGCAAAUGUAAGAGUAAAGAGCAGUUUAGACCCCUUUGCUCUUUAGUCUUACUUCUCUAUUUCCCUUCUGGACUGGGUGACAACAGCAGGAUUGAAUGACAUUGCUGCUUGUGAGUGACACUAUCAGGAUUGAUAAUGGGUGGCAAAUGCAAAAAGAAGCAAGACUCUAAAAAAUACCAUUCUGGGCCAGCCCUGAUGGCCUAGCAGUUAAAGUUUGGUGCUCUUACCACUUCAGCGGCCCGGGUUCGCUUCCUGGUCUUGGAACCACACCACCUGUCUGUCAGUAGCCAUGCUGUGGCAUCAUCCCACAUAGAAGAACUGGAAGGACUUCCAUCUAGGAUAUACAACUAUGCACUGGGGCUUUGGAGAGGAAAAAAAAAAGAGGCAGACUGACAACAGAUGUUAGCUCAGGGCGAAUCUUUCCCUGAAAAAAACCCCAUUCUGUAAAGGGCGUUGUUUACUCUGUCCGUUCUGUCUGGGCCCAGAAUCUUCACCAAGACUAUCAGUUGUGAAUACAUCUUUAAAAUACUUAAAAGGAUGUUUUAGAUUUCAGAACUUGAUAAAGUUCACAAAAGAAACUGAUGAAGAAUUAUAGAAACCACACUUUGAGAUUAACUAUAUAACUGAAGCACAAAUGUGUUAGGUAUUUGUCUUUACUAAAAUGUUUCAAACUGUUGAGAGUAUAAACAAGAAACGUCCUUCUUUUUUCCAAUGCCUCCCCAACAAUACCGAAGGGCUUCCGUUUUUUCAGAGAGUGGCUCCUAUGGUACCUUACACAUAUUCUCUGCUUUUCAGGCACCUUAUUGGAACAGUCACAAUCUAAGAUCAGAGAAUCAAUCCUGUCAACUUGAAACCAUCAGCCUCCAGCUCUUCUUCCCUCCUCCCGCUCGCCAAUCCCCAGUGCAAGAGAGCUCGAGAUGGAGGCAGUGGGGGCAACCCAGCUCUCGGGCACCUGCUUCUCCUGCCUCUUCUAGGCUUGGUGCCCUUGGCUUGUGGCAGAGGGAAGGGAGGGGGUAAGGGCAAGUGCUUCCCUGCUUGACCGGGCGAGGACGCAGUCUUCGUUGACUGGAUGUUGGUAACUUCUACCUGGCAAUGUCCAAAGCUGGAUGUCUUUGGCUGCAAGCCAAAGUGAGGCUUCUCUGAGGGAGCCUGCGGGGCCCCUACUCCCUGGCUUUCUGAGGGUGGACAUCUGGCUCCAGCUCCCUGGCCCCCUUCAUUCCUCAUGCUGCAGCUCUUCCGUCUUGCUGCUCAGCCCACUCACCUCCCCUGGUAUUCACACCACCGGUGGGAAACCUCACUAUCCUCGCCACACCAGGGGAUGGGCAUGGGGCUACUGUCCAUUGUCCUGGCCUCUCAGUCCAUCAGGUGCAAUUUCUGCUUCCCUACUCAGCUCCAGGAGACCAGCAAAUCCAUGGCCAAGCAAACGUCCAACAGAGAAGAGAGACGUGUCCCCCCUCCUUUCAUAAACUCAAUCUUCAGAAGUGAUUCGCCUUGAGCACGCUCCACUCCAACUACUUUUGGGAACAGCUUGUCCACAGACGUUGCUUUCUCCACAAUAGGCGUCCUUUUCCUCUCUUGUUUCUUUGACUAACAGUAGAUAGGAGUGCUGGUGGUGGUGACAGGGCUGGUUGUGACACUGCUCAGUUGAUACUGUGCGGUUAUUAAAAGUUAUUUUAAGUUACGAUGUGGAGCAUUUGAUGCAUUUUAUUUUCAG
Molecule: long non-coding RNA, 2557 nt
Organism: Equus asinus (donkey)
Lineage: Eukaryota; Metazoa; Chordata; Mammalia; Perissodactyla; Equidae
Source: Ensembl